AUAAUUUAGUAGUAAGUGAAAAUCAUGAAACUAAAAUUAAUUGGCGGCUUUUUAAAUAUUUUAGAGAAAUUUAUUCUUUAAAGGAGUCAACCCCAAAAUCUUACUUUUUUUUGUAUUAUUACAUUUCAUAUACCUCUAUUUAUUGGUUAUUAGUUUAAUUAUAAAUUUAGCUUUUUUAGAUAAAUCUUAGGGAAAGGUGUGGAUAAUAGAAAAGAGUGAAAUAAGUUUCAUUAAUUAGUAUUUAAUGAUUUAUUUUUGUAAUAAAAAUAAAAAAUAGAAUUUAAAAGUAAUAUUAGUAUAUUUUGCUAAUUUGAAUUAGUUUUUAAAAGUGUACAUAUUGCCCGCCCCUCUCUUAUUAGAGAUAAGUCG
This 369-nucleotide ribosomal RNA is filed under the name Neoseiulus californicus. Its description in RNAcentral is "partial 12S ribosomal RNA". The record is from RNAcentral. Lineage: Eukaryota; Metazoa; Arthropoda; Arachnida; Mesostigmata; Phytoseiidae.